Non-coding RNA from Phrynosoma platyrhinos (Desert horned lizard), 73 nucleotides. The record is from the annotation of a GenBank genome assembly. Lineage: Eukaryota; Metazoa; Chordata; Lepidosauria; Squamata; Phrynosomatidae.
AUAGCAUGUCAUAAUGGUUUGAGUGUUGGACUAUGACUCCGGAGACCAGGGUUCAAAUCCUGGUUCAGCUAUG